Molecule: ribosomal RNA, 900 nt
Filed under: Phaeocollybia californica
Lineage: Eukaryota; Fungi; Basidiomycota; Agaricomycetes; Agaricales; Phaeocollybiaceae
Description: eukaryotic LSU rRNA
Rfam family: Eukaryotic large subunit ribosomal RNA
Source: RNAcentral
GAAGAAACUAACAAGGAUUCCCCUAGUAACUGCGAGUGAAGAGGGAAAAGCUCAAAUUUAAAAUCUGGCUUCCUUAGGUUGUCCGAGUUGUAAUCUAGAGAAGCGUCAUCCGCGCUGGACCGUGUACAAGUCUCCUGGAACGGAGCGUCAUAGAGGGUGAGAAUCCCGUCUUCGACACGGACUACCGGGGCUUUGUGAUGCGCUCUCAAAGAGUCGAGUUGUUUGGGAAUGCAGCUCAAAAUGGGUGGUAAAUUCCAUCUAAAGCUAAAUAUUGGCGAGAGACCGAUAGCGAACAAGUACCGUGAGGGAAAGAUGAAAAGAACUUUGGAAAGAGAGUUAAACAGUACGUGAAAUUGCUGAAAGGGAAACGCUUGAAGUCAGUCGCGUUGGUCGAGAAUCAGCCUUGCUUUUGCAUGGCUUAUUUCGCGGUUCAACGGGUCAGCAUCAAUUUUGACCAUUGGAUAAAGAUGAGAGGAAUGUAGCAUCUUCGGAUGUGUUAUAGCCUCUUGUUGCAUGCAGUGGUUGGGAUUGAGGAACUCAGCACGCCGCAAGGCCGGGAGCAAUCCACGUUCGUGCUUAGGAUGCUGGCAUAAUGGCUUUAAUCGACCCGUCUUGAAACACGGACCAAGGAGUCUAACAUGCCUGCAAGUGUUUGGGUGUAAAACCCAUGCGCGCAAUGAAAGUGAAAGUUGAGAUCCCUGUCGUGGGGAGCAUCGACGCCCGGACCAGACCUUUUGUGACGGAUCCGCGGUAGAGCAUGUAUGUUGGGACCCGAAAGAUGGUGAACUAUGCCUGAAUAGGGUGAAGCCAGAGGAAACUCUGGUGGAGGCUCGUAGCGAUUCUGACGUGCAAAUCGAUCGUCAAAUUUGGGUAUAGGGGCGAAAGACUAAUCGAACCAUC